UAGAGUUUGAUCAUGGCUCAGGACGAACGCUGGCGGCGUGCCUAAUACAUGCAAGNUCGAACGAACUCUGGUAUUGAUUGGUGCUUGCAUCAUGAUUUACAUUUGAGUGAGUGGCGNAACUGGUGAGUAACACGUGGGAAACCUGCCCAGAAGCGGGGGAUAACCUGUGGACCGGGUGUUCUAUUCCCGCAUAACAACUUGGACCGCAUGGUCCGAGCUUGAAAAGGUGGCUUCGGCUUAUCCUUUUUGGAUGGUUCCGCGGGCUUAUUAGCUUGAUGGUGGGGUAACGGCUCCCCCAUGGCAAUUGAUACGUAGCCGACCUGAGAGGGUAAUUGGCCCCCAUUGGGACUGAGACCCGGGCCCAAACCUCCUACCGGGAGGCAGCCGUUAGGGAAUCUUUCACCAAUGGACGAAAGUUUUGAUGGAGCNAACCGCCGCGUGAGUGAAGAAGGGUUUCGGCUCGUAAAACUCUGUUGUUAAAGAAGAACAUUUUCUGAGAGUAACUGUUCAGGUAUUGACGGUAUUUAACCAGAAAGCCACGGCUAACUACGUUGCCAGCAGCCGCGGUAAUACGUAGGUGGCAAGCGUUGUCCGGAUUUAUUGGGCGUAAAGGGGAGCGCAGGCGGUUUUUUAAGUCUGAUGUGAAAGCCUUCGGCUCAACCGAAGAAGUGCAUUCGGAAACUGGGAAACUUGAGUGCAGAAGAGGACAGUGGAACUCCAUGUGUAGCGGUGAAAUUGCGUAGAUAUAUGGAAGAACACCAGUGGCGAAGGCGGCUGUCUGGUCUGUAACUGACGGUUGAGGCUCGAAAGUAUGGGUAGCAAACAGGAUUAGAUACCCUGGUAGUCCAUACCGUANAACGAUGAAUGCUAAGUGUUGGAGGGUUUCCGCCCUUCAGUGCUGCAGCUAACGCAUUAANGCAUUCCGCCUGGGGAGUACGGCCGCAAGGCUGAAACUCAAAGGAAUUGACGGGGGCCCGNCACAAGCGGUGGAGCAUGUGGUUUAAUUCGAAGCUACGCGAAGAACCUUACCAGGUCUUGNACAUACUAUGCAAAUCUAAGAGAUUAGACGUUCCCUUCGGGGACAUGGAUACAGGUGGUGNCAUGGUUGUCGUCAGCUCGUGUCGUGAGAUGUUGGGUUAAGUCCCGCAACGAGCGCAACCNCUUAUUAUCAGUUGCCAGCAUUAAGUUGGGCACUCUGGUGAGACUGCCGGUGACAAACCGNGAGGAAGGUGGGGAUGACGUCAAAUCAUCAUGCCCCUUAUGACCUGGGCUACACACGUGCNUACAAUGGAUGGUACAACGAGUUGCGAACUCGCGAGAGUAAGCUAAUCUCUUAAAGCCAUNUCUCAGUUCGGAUUGUAGGCUGCAACUCGCCUACAUGAAGUCGGAAUCGCUAGUAAUCGCNGGAUCAGCAUGCCGCGGUGAAUACGUUCCCGGGCCUUGUACACACCGCCCGUCACACCAUNGAGAGUUUGUAACACCCAAAGUCGGUGGGGUAACCUUUUAGGAACCAGCCGCCUAAGGGGG
This 1527-nucleotide ribosomal RNA is filed under the name Lactiplantibacillus plantarum. Its description in RNAcentral is "bacterial SSU rRNA". It matches the Rfam family "Bacterial small subunit ribosomal RNA". The record is from RNAcentral. Lineage: Bacteria; Bacillati; Bacillota; Bacilli; Lactobacillales; Lactobacillaceae.